UACGGGGGGAGCAAGCGUUGUUCGGAUUUACUGGGCGUAAAGGGCGCGUAGGCGGCCAGCACAAGUCAGUUGUGAAAUCUCCGAGCUUAACUCGGAACGGUCAACUGAUACUGUGCGGCUAGAGUGCAGAAGGGGCAACUGGAAUUCCCGGUGUAGCGGUGGAAUGCGUAGAGAUCGGGAAGAACAUCGGUGGCGAAGGCGGCCUGCUGGGCUCUAGCUGACACUGAGGCGCGACAGCGUGGGGAGCAAACAGG
This 254-nucleotide ribosomal RNA is filed under the name uncultured bacterium. RNAcentral's name for it is "partial 16S ribosomal RNA". It matches the Rfam family "Bacterial small subunit ribosomal RNA", at positions 524 to 776 of the family's 1533-position model. The record is from RNAcentral.